UAUGCUACCAAAAAAGUAAAAAAGCAAUAUCUCUCUCCUACAUUAACCCUAAUCUCUUAUCUGGCUUCACACAUGUUCCAUUUUUCUCAAGUAGGAUGCUCCAAAAUGUUGCGAACGGACAUCAAUCGAAGGUCGUUUCCCAAGUUUUUGAAGAUUGAUGCUCAUCUUAAUUUAUGUGAGUCACAAAAGAAAGUCAAGGUAACAACAUGCAAGUCAUGAAACUUGAUGGGUGAAUAUGGUAGUUGCUGCCUCAUCACAGUUAAACCACCAGGCAUCUUUGGGGCUUUUAAAAAUCUGCUUGCUUUGUGGCUGUUUGGCGUUUCUCAUUGCCGCAUGUCACUCUGUUUCCCUUCUUUGACUCUUCAAGUUUCUCCUGCAUGUUUUUUAUUACCUUUAUCAUUGCUUCAUCUUUCUCGCUUCUUUUCCAGUAUUCACCGCUGAUGGAACUAGCUGGUGAUUUUAGGUUUAGCGCUUUAUGCUUGCCGGUUAAUUCAGGUUCAAUGCUUCUAUACCAUCAUUGGAAAUUUCGAUUUCCGGAUUGCUAGCCAAGUAAAGAGUAAUGAAAUUAUUUGAUAAUUAGUAAUUGACGAUAGAAUUGGUCUUCCUUUUCCAUGCUUUGUGCUAAACAUGUUGCCUAAACAACCCAGUUAUGGGCUUAUCCAACUUUUUGCUUCUUAUGUUUCUUCUUGGGCUAAUUAGUGAAUUGAAUCAAUAGUUUAUGCAAGAUUAAUUUUUCUUCUACAUAAAAAGUUAAUUGCUUA
Helianthus annuus (common sunflower) is the source of this 761-nucleotide long non-coding RNA. RefSeq lists it as uncharacterized. NCBI's taxonomy places the organism in Eukaryota, Viridiplantae, Streptophyta, Magnoliopsida, Asterales, Asteraceae. The transcript is spliced from 4 exons. The record is from RefSeq and is a predicted model, not a curated record.